AACGGAGGGUGCAAGCGUUGUUCGGAAUUACUGGGCGUAAAGCGCGUGCAGGUGGUCUUCUAAGUUUCGUGUGAAAUCCCACGGCUCAACCGUGGAACGGCACGGAAAACUGGAAGACUUGAAUACGGGAGAAGAGGGCGGAAUUCCCAGUGUAGAGGUGAAAUUCGUAGAUAUUGGGAGGAACACCGGUGGCGAAAGCGGCUCUCUAGACCGAUAUUGACGCUCAUACGCGAGAGCGUGGGUAGCAAACAGG
RNAcentral lists this ribosomal RNA (253 nucleotides) under uncultured prokaryote. RNAcentral describes it as "partial 16S ribosomal RNA". It matches the Rfam family "Bacterial small subunit ribosomal RNA", at positions 524 to 776 of the family's 1533-position model. The record is from RNAcentral.